GACGAACGCUGGCGGCGUGCCUAAUACAUGCAAGUCGAACGAGAGCAACCGGUGCUUGCACUGGUCAAUCUAGUGGCGAACGGGUGAGUAACACGUGGGUAACCUGCCCAUCAGAGGGGGAUAACAUCCGGAAACGGAUGCUAAAACCGCAUAGGUCUUCGAACCGCAUGGUUUGAAGAGGAAAAGAGGCGCAAGCUUCUGCUGAUGGAUGGACCCGCGGUGCAUUAGCUAGUUGGGGAGGUAACGGCUCACCAAGGCCGUGAUGCAUAGCCGACCUGAGAGGGUGAUCGGCGACAUUGGGACUGAGACACGGCCCAAACUCCUACGGGAGGCAGCAGUAGGGAAUCUUCCGCAAUGGACGCAAGUCUGACGGAGCAACGCCGCGUGAGUGAAGAAGGUUUUCGGAUCGUAAAACUCUGUUGUUAGAGAAGAACAAGUGCUAGAGUAACUGUUAGCGCCUUGACGGUAUCUAACCAGAAAGCCACGGCUAACUACGUG
RNAcentral lists this ribosomal RNA (498 nucleotides) under uncultured bacterium. RNAcentral's name for it is "partial 16S ribosomal RNA". It matches the Rfam family "Bacterial small subunit ribosomal RNA", at positions 28 to 507 of the family's 1533-position model. The record is from RNAcentral.